This is a long non-coding RNA of Prunus avium (sweet cherry), 363 nucleotides long. RefSeq lists it as uncharacterized. The record is from RefSeq and is a predicted model, not a curated record. Lineage: Eukaryota; Viridiplantae; Streptophyta; Magnoliopsida; Rosales; Rosaceae.
GCAAAAAAACAACAUGCAGUUGUUCUUGCUGCAACUAUUCUACGAGUACGGCAAAGCUUUGGCGAGAUCAUAGAUGUAAAUUACUAAAAGAAGUGCGGAAAUGAGGAGAGCUUGUUGGUAUUCAAUGCGCUACAAGGCAACUGAAGCCUGAUAAUAUAAAGAGUAUGGAAGAAUGGCAAAGUUUCAUCAAGAAACGACUGGGGUUCUCAAAGUUUCUUGAUUGAGGUGGCAGAUCAAGUGUCAGUUUGAUUCUUGUUAGAUGAUGUCUACUGCCAGUGCUAUCAUGAGGUUUUUGCAUAGGUUACGUUGUAGUUUUGGCAGCACUAUUAUGAGUGAAUGAGUUGGAGGCUGUGUACAAGUUAA